AUUGAACGCUGGCGGCAGGCCUAACACAUGCAAGUCGAGCGGAUGAAGGGAGCUUGCUCCUGGAUUCAGCGGCGGACGGGUGAGUAAUGCCUAGGAAUCUGCCUGGUAGUGGGGGAUAACGUCCGGAAACGGGCGCUAAUACCGCAUAUGUCCUGAGGGAGAAAGUGGGGGAUCUUCGGACCUCACGCUAUCAGAUGAGCCUAGGUCGGAUUAGCUAGUUGGUGGGGUAAAGGCCUACCAAGGUGACGAUCCGUAACUGGUCUGAGAGGAUGAUCAGUCACACUGGAACUGAGACACGGUCCAGACUCCUACGGGAGGCAGCAGUGGGGAAUAUUGGACAAUGGGCGAAAGCCUGAUCCAGCCAUGCCGCGUGUGUGAAGAAGGUCUUCGGAUUGUAAAGCACUUUAAGUUGGGAGGAAGGGCAGUAAGUUAAUACCUUGCUGUUUUGACGUUACCAACAGAAUAAGCACCGGCUAACUUCGUG
RNAcentral lists this ribosomal RNA (484 nucleotides) under uncultured bacterium. Its description in RNAcentral is "partial 16S ribosomal RNA". It matches the Rfam family "Bacterial small subunit ribosomal RNA", at positions 30 to 507 of the family's 1533-position model. The record is from RNAcentral.